This 482-nucleotide ribosomal RNA is filed under the name uncultured bacterium. Its description in RNAcentral is "partial 16S ribosomal RNA". It matches the Rfam family "Bacterial small subunit ribosomal RNA", at positions 30 to 507 of the family's 1533-position model. The record is from RNAcentral.
AUUGAACGCUGGCGGCAUGCCUUACACAUGCAAGUCGAACGGUAACAGCUCUUCGGAUGCUGACGUGUGGCGAACGGGUGCGUAAUACAUCGGAACGUGCCCGAUCGUGGGGGAUAACGAGGCGAAGGCUUUGCUAAUACCACAUACGAUCUACGGAUGAAAGCGGGGGAUCUUCGGAACUCGCGCGGUAGGAGCGGCCGAUGGAAGAUUAGGUGGUUGGUGGUAUAGAAGCUUACCAAGCCGACGAUCUGUAGCUGGUCUGAGAGGAUGAUCGGCCACACUGGGACUGAGACACGGCCCAGACUCCUACGGGAGGCAGCAGUGGGGAAUUUUGGACAAUGGGCGAAAGCCUGAUCCAGCCAUGCCGCGUGCAGGAUGAAGGCCUUCGGGUUGUAAACUGCUUUUGUACGGAACGAAAAGCCUCUUGCUAAUAAAGAGGGGUCAUGACGGUACCGUAAGAAUAAGCACCGGCUAACUACGUG